This 257-nucleotide ribosomal RNA is filed under the name uncultured bacterium. RNAcentral describes it as "partial 16S ribosomal RNA". It matches the Rfam family "Bacterial small subunit ribosomal RNA", at positions 524 to 777 of the family's 1533-position model. The record is from RNAcentral.
UACGAAGGGUGCAAGCGUUACUCGGAAUUACUGGGCGUAAAGCGUGCGUAGGUGGUGAGUUAAGUCUGUCGUGAAAGCCCCGGGCUCAACCUGGGAAUGGCGAUGGAUACUGGCUCGCUAGAGUGCGGUAGAGGAGAGUGGAAUUCCCGGUGUAGCAGUGAAAUGCGUAGAGAUCGGGAGGAACAUCAGUUGCGAAGGCGGCUCUCUGGACCAGCACUGGACACUGAGGCACGAAAAGCGUGGGGGAGCAAACAGGG